This 1217-nucleotide ribosomal RNA is filed under the name Campylobacter jejuni. Its description in RNAcentral is "partial 23S ribosomal RNA". It matches the Rfam family "Bacterial large subunit ribosomal RNA", at positions 1 to 1225 of the family's 2925-position model. Lineage: Bacteria; Pseudomonadati; Campylobacterota; Epsilonproteobacteria; Campylobacterales; Campylobacteraceae. The record is from RNAcentral.
AGGUAAGCUACUAAGAGCGAAUGGUGGAUGCCUUGACUGGUAAAGGCGAUGAAGGACGUACUAGACUGCGAUAAGCUACGGGGAGCUGUCAAGAAGCUUUGAUCCGUAGAUUUCCGAAUGGGGCAACCCAAUGUAUAGAGAUAUACAUUACCUAUAUAGGAGCGAACGAGGGGAAUUGAAACAUCUUAGUACCCUCAGGAAAAGAAAUCAAUAGAGAUUGCGUCAGUAGCGGCGAGCGAAAGCGCAAGAGGGCAAACCCAGUGCUUGCACUGGGGGUUGUAGGACUGCAAUGUGCAAGAGCUGAGUUUAGCAGAACAUUCUGGAAAGUAUAGCCAUAGAGGGUGAUAGUCCCGUAUGCGAAAAACAAAGCUUAGCUAGCAGUAUCCUGAGUAGGGCGGGACACGAGGAAUCCUGUCUGAAUCCGGGUCGACCACGAUCCAACCCUAAAUACUAAUACCAGAUCGAUAGUGCACAAGUACCGUGAGGGAAAGGUGAAAAGAACUGAGGUGAUCAGAGUGAAAUAGAACCUGAAACCAUUUGCUUACAAUCAUUCAGAGCACUAUGUAGCAAUACAGUGUGAUGGACUGCCUUUUGCAUAAUGAGCCUGCGAGUUGUGGUGUCUGGCAAGGUUAAGCAAACGCGAAGCCGUAGCGAAAGCGAGUCUGAAUAGGGCGCUUAGUCAGAUGCUGCAGACCCGAAACGAAGUGAUCUAUCCAUGAGCAAGUUGAAGCUAGUGUAAGAACUAGUGGAGGACUGAACCCAUAGGCGUUGAAAAGCCCCGGGAUGACUUGUGGAUAGGGGUGAAAGGCCAAUCAAACUUCGUGAUAGCUGGUUCUCUCCGAAAUAUAUUUAGGUAUAGCGUUGUGUCGUAAUAUAAGGGGGUAGAGCACUGAAUGGGCUAGGGCAUACACCAAUGUACCAAACCCUAUCAAACUCCGAAUACCUUAUAUGUAAUCACAGCAGUCAGGCGGCGAGUGAUAAAAUCCGUCGUCAAGAGGGAAACAACCCAGACUACCAGCUAAGGUCCCUAAAUCUUACUUAAGUGGAAAACGAUGUGAAGUUACUUAAACAACCAGGAGGUUGGCUUAGAAGCAGCCAUCCUUUAAAGAAAGCGUAAUAGCUCACUGGUCUAGUGAUUUUGCGCGGAAAAUAUAACGGGGCUAAAGUAAGUACCGAAGCUGUAGACUUGCACACAACUUAGAUUAUUUAAGUUUAGA